RNAcentral lists this ribosomal RNA (440 nucleotides) under uncultured bacterium. Its description in RNAcentral is "partial 16S ribosomal RNA". It matches the Rfam family "Bacterial small subunit ribosomal RNA", at positions 338 to 795 of the family's 1533-position model. The record is from RNAcentral.
CCUACGGGUGGCUGCAGUGGGGAAUAUUGCACAAUGGGGGAAACCCUGAUGCAGCGACGCCGCGUGAGUGAAGACGUUUCUCGGUAUGUUAAGCUCUGUCAGCAGGGAAGAAAAUGACGGUACCUGUCCCAGAAGCCCCAGCUAACUCCGUGCCAGCAGCCGCGGUCAUACGUAGGGGGGCAGCGGUAUCCCGAUUUACUGGGGGUAAAGGGGGAGUAGACGGCAUGGCAAGUUUGGAGUGAAAGGCGGGGGCUCAACCCCCGGACGGCCCUGGAAACUGCGAGGCUGGAGUGCAGGAGAGGUAAGGGGAAUGCGUGGUGUAGCGGUGAAAUGCGUAGAUAUUAGGAGGAACACCAGUGGCGAAGGCGGCUUACUGGACUGUAACUGACGUGGAGGCUCGAAAGCGUGGGGAGCAAACAGGAUUAGAUACCCGGGUAGUC